Molecule: transfer RNA, 65 nt
Filed under: Trigonopterus daun
Lineage: Eukaryota; Metazoa; Arthropoda; Insecta; Coleoptera; Curculionidae
Description: tRNA-Arg
Source: RNAcentral
UAAUAAGAAGCAAAAUCUUGCAUUUAGUUUCGGCCUAAAACACUGAUAGUUUUUAUCCUUAUUUU